This 442-nucleotide ribosomal RNA is filed under the name uncultured bacterium. Its description in RNAcentral is "partial 16S ribosomal RNA". It matches the Rfam family "Bacterial small subunit ribosomal RNA", at positions 338 to 795 of the family's 1533-position model. The record is from RNAcentral.
CCUACGGGAGGCAGCAGUAGGGAAUCUUUCACAAUGGGCGAAAGCCUGAUGGAGCAACGCCGCGUGCAGGAUGAAGGCCUUCGGGUUGUAAACUGCUUUUAUAAGCGAGAAAUAUGAUGGUAACUUAUGAAUAAGGAUCGGCUAACUACGUGCCAGCAGCCGCGGUCAUACGUAGGAUCCGAGCAUUAUCCGGAGUGACUGGGUGUAAAGAGUUGCGUAGGUGGCAUAAUAAGUAGCUAGGGAAAUCUGGUGGCUCAACCAUUCAGACUAUUAGCUAAACUGUGAAGCUCGAGACCGUUAGUGGUAAGUGGAAUUUCUAGUGUAGGAGUGAAAUCCGUAGAUAUUAGAAGGAACACCAAUAGCGUAGGCAGGUUGCUGGGACGGUUCUGACACUAAGGCACGAAAGCGUAGGGAGCAAACGGGAUUAGAUACCCCAGUAGUC